Long non-coding RNA from Micropterus salmoides (largemouth bass), 240 nucleotides. RefSeq lists it as uncharacterized. The record is from RefSeq and is a predicted model, not a curated record. NCBI's taxonomy places the organism in Eukaryota, Metazoa, Chordata, Actinopteri, Centrarchiformes, Centrarchidae. The transcript has 2 exons.
CUGCAGUCGCCUUUCUCUCCUUUCUGUCCGUCCAUACCCUGACGCACAAAGAGCGAGAUAAACUUCCAGCUGUCAUGCAAUGUGGUCCUGUCUCACCAAUGUCACCUUUAGGUCCCUGGAGGCAAAGAAUCCAGAAGAGAUGUCACAUUCAGCAUUAUCAGGAGUGGUGGGGAAAAAAACUAAACUCCGAAACUACCAUAUAUAUAUAAAGAAGCUUAAACAAUAGUAUAAGACAUUUAA